CGUUAUCCGGAAUCAUUGGGCGUAAAGCGCCUGUAGGUUGUUUAAUAAGUCUGUUGUUAAAGACUAGGGCUCAACCCUAGAAAAGCAAUGGAAACUGUUAGACUAGAGUAUGGCAGGGGUAGAGGGAAUUUCUAGUGUAGCGGUGAAAUGCGUAGAUAUUAGAAAGAACACCGGUGGCGAAAGCGCUCUACUGGACCAUUACUGACACUCAGAGGCGAAAGCUAGGGUAGCAAAAGGGAUUAGAUACCCCUGUAGUCCUAGCCGUAAACGAUGGAUACUAGAUGUUGUAUGUUAUUUACAGUAUCGUAGCUAACGCGUUAAGUAUCCCGCCUGGGGAGUACGCUCGCAAGGGUGAAACUCAAAGGAAUUGACGGGGGCCCGCACAAGCGGUGGAGCAUGUGGUUUAAUUCGAUGCAACGCGAAGAACCUUACCAGGGCUUGACAUACUACAGAUUCUUUUGAGAGAGAGAAGUGCCUUCGGGAAUGUAGAUACAGGUGGUGCAUGGCUGUCGUCAGCUCGUGUCGUGAGAUGUUGGGUUAAGUCCCGCAACGAGCGCAACCCUUAUUUUUAGUUACCAAUUCGUUGGGUUCUCUAGAAAGACUGCCGGUGACAAACCGGAGGAAGGUGAGGAUGACGUCAAGUCAGCAUGCCCCUUAUGUCCCGGGCUACACACGUGCUACAAUGGCUAAGACAAAGAGUUGCGAGCUCGCGAGAGUAAGCUAAUCUCAUAAACUUAGCCUAAGUUCAGAUUGUAGGCUGCAA
This 763-nucleotide ribosomal RNA is filed under the name uncultured marine haptophyte. RNAcentral describes it as "bacterial SSU rRNA". It matches the Rfam family "Bacterial small subunit ribosomal RNA", at positions 539 to 1310 of the family's 1533-position model. The record is from RNAcentral. Lineage: Eukaryota; Haptophyta.